RNAcentral lists this ribosomal RNA (497 nucleotides) under uncultured bacterium. RNAcentral's name for it is "partial 16S ribosomal RNA". It matches the Rfam family "Bacterial small subunit ribosomal RNA", at positions 28 to 507 of the family's 1533-position model. The record is from RNAcentral.
GAUGAACGCUGGCGGCGUGCCUAAUACAUGCAAGUCGAGUGAACAGAUGAGGAGCUUGCUCCUCUGACGUUAGCGGCGGACGGGUGAGUAACACGUGGAUAACCUACCUAUAAGACUGGGAUAACUUCGGGAAACCGGAGCUAAUACCGGAUAAUAUAUUGAACCGCAUGGUUCAAUAGUGAAAGACGGUUUUGCUGUCACUUAUAGAUGGAUCCGCGCCGCAUUAGCUAGUUGGUAAGGUAACGGCUUACCAAGGCAACGAUGCGUAGCCGACCUGAGAGGGUGAUCGGCAACACUGGAACUGAGACACGGUCCAGACUCCUACGGGAGGCAGCAGUAGGGAAUCUUCCGCAAUGGGCGAAAGCCUGACGGAGCAACGCCGCGUGAGUGAUGAAGGUCUUCGGAUCGUAAAACUCUGUUAUUAGGGAAGAACAAAUGUGUAAGUAACUAUGCACGUCUUGACGGUACCUAAUCAGAAAGCCACGGCUAACUACGUG